RNAcentral lists this unclassified non-coding RNA (197 nucleotides) under plant metagenome. Its description in RNAcentral is "partial contains small subunit ribosomal RNA, internal transcribed spacer 1, and 5.8S ribosomal RNA". The record is from RNAcentral.
UCUCCGUUGGUGAACCAGCGGAGGGAUCAUUACCGAGUGCAAACUCAUAACCCUUUGUGAACCUAUAUCUGUUGCUUUGGCGGCUCGCUCUCGGGCGAGCCCGCCGGUAAUAUCAGUAUCUCUGUUUGAACCCGACGAUACUUCUGAGUGUUCUUAGCGAACAGUUAAAACUUUUAACAACGGAUCUCUUGGCUCUA